Molecule: ribosomal RNA, 460 nt
Filed under: uncultured bacterium
Lineage: Bacteria
Description: partial 16S ribosomal RNA
Rfam family: Bacterial small subunit ribosomal RNA
Source: RNAcentral
CCUACGGGUGGCAGCAGUGAGGAAUAUUGGUCAAUGGACGAGAGUCUGAACCAGCCAAGUAGCGUGAAGGAUGACUGCCCUAUGGGUUGUAAACCUCUUUUAUAUGGGAAUAAAAUGUUCCACGUGUGGGAUUCUGUAUGUACCAUAUGAAUAAGCAUCGGCUAACUCCGUGCCAGCAGCCGCGGUAAUACGGAGGAUGCGAGCGUUAUCCGGAUUUAUUGGGUUUAAAGGGUGCGUAGGCGGUUUGUUAAGUCCGUUGUGAAAGUUUGCGGCUCAACCGUCAAAUUGCAGUUGAAACUGGCAGUCUUGAGUUCAGUAGAGGUAGGCGGAAUUCGUGGUGUAGCGGUGAAAUGCUUAGAUAUCACGAAGAACUCCGAUUGCGAAGGCAGCUCACUGGACUGCGACUGACACUGAGGCUCGAAAGUGUGGGUAUCAAACAGGAUUAGAUACCCUUGUAGUC